CUCACCGCAGAGGCAGAGGCGGCCAACGGCGGCCGGAGAGCACCCAACCCAACCCUAGCGACCCAAGGCGACGCGAGAUCUCGGCCAUGAGCAGCGCGCCGCCCCCUCUCGAUGAGUCCUCGGGCCCCGCCGGGCAGCCGCCGGAGGACGACGGGGGGAGGAGGGUCAGGAAGCCCUACACCAUCACCAAGUCGCGGGAGAGUUGGACCGAGCCCGAGCACGACAAGUUCCUCGAGGCGCUGCAGCUGUUCGAUCGUGAUUGGAAAAAGAUCGAAGCAUAUGUUGGCUCCAAGACAGUAAUACAGAUCAGAAGCCAUGCGCAGAAGUACUUUUUGAAGGUUCAAAAGAACGGGACAGGCGAACAUUUACCCCCACCUCGGCCAAAGCGGAAGGCGGCACAUCCAUACCCACAUAAGGCCUCGAAAAAGGCCCCUCAUGUUGUCUUACCACAACAAGCUUCUCUUAUAAUGGAGCAAGGUUGUCUUAUACCUAUGGACGCAUCUCCUGUUGUUAGAAAGUUUUGUGCUAAUGAUGUGUUUCCUUCCUGGGACAGUGGUCUUGCCCAAAGUUUCAGUCCAAGACAUACACAGGGCGUGGCAAAUAAUUGUUCUAGUAGCAUAGAGAGCCAAUCUGGAACUUGGCCAACUUCUGAGGCAAUUGAGCAAGAGAUUGGACUUCCAAAACUGCGUGCCUUGCCAGACUUUGCUCAAGUAUACAACUUCCUGGGAAGUGUAUUUGAUCCAGAGACAAGUGGGCAUCUGCAGAGGUUGAGAGAGAUGAACCCCAUUGAUGUUGAAACAGUGCUGUUGCUGAUGAAAAAUUUGUCAAUAAACCUGGCAAGCCCACACUUUGAAGCACAUCAAUGGAAGCCCCUUAUUGUUGCAGAGGAAGGUACUCGCAUCACAUGGCUCUAGUGGUGACCAAGUGAAGCAUGAGACUUUAGGAGAUCUGGGAUCAACUCACAAACUUCAUCUACCCUUCAUGGUAACAAGCAAAUGAGAGAACACUGCUUUGAGCAUCCAUUGGGGGUAACAAGCAAGCCCUGCUGUCAGCACCCAUUGGCGAUUUUGAGUGACUCUGUAAUACACAUUGUGAAAGCAGCAUGUUGUGCUGUCACCUUGUAUAUAACUUUAGUAAUGCUCUAACCAUUAGGCUAGUCUUGCUCAUCAUGUAAAUGGCCAGAUAGUUUGUGCGGCAGUGAUUCUUUCUUUCUUUCUUUUGGCUUUCUUUCCAAUUUAACACAUCUAUGAACCUGCCACGUAGUGGGGGGUAUGUUGUAUCCUGGCAUUCAUGCCUUUGCUUUUCUUUUCCCCCUUCGAGGAUUUGAUUGUAUGUAUUUUGGGCGUGUAUGUAUAGCUGUGUGCAUAUGCUAACAAACAGUAGAUUGUAUCAGAUCGUGUUCCUUGAGCCGUUUGUGUAACUGGACAAGUGCAAUAUAAAUAAAGUCCAGUUAGUUGUUCUUGCUGACA
RNA transcript from Oryza brachyantha (malo sina), 1469 nucleotides. It is a transcript of the gene named protein REVEILLE 6-like, with no coding region annotated. The transcript is spliced from 9 exons. The record is from RefSeq and is a predicted model, not a curated record. Lineage: Eukaryota; Viridiplantae; Streptophyta; Magnoliopsida; Poales; Poaceae.